RNAcentral lists this transfer RNA (350 nucleotides) under uncultured cyanobacterium. RNAcentral describes it as "16S-23S ribosomal RNA intergenic spacer". The stretch from base 209 to 281 matches the Rfam family "tRNA". Lineage: Bacteria; Bacillati; Cyanobacteriota. The record is from RNAcentral.
AGGGAGACCUUACCCUUCUAACUCUGAAUUGAGUAAGAGUAGAUAGAGGUUAUCUCAAGGUCGGUCGAGGUUAUAUGUGUUAGCUUCCAAAUUUUGCUCUGGUUUUAAUUAACCAGUACGGGCUAUUAGCUCAGAUGGUUAGAGCGCACCCCUGAUAAGGGUGAGGUCCCUGGUUCGAGUCCAGGAUGGCCCACCUUUGCUAUCGCUAGGGGGUUUAGCUCAGUUGGUAGAGCGCCUGCUUUGCAAGCAGGAUGUCAGCGGUUCGAGUCCGCUAACCUCCACUGAUAAAUUUCAGCAACUCAUGAUGUCUAGUAGAGACUUCAUAGCCUGCUGGAUAUUUUAUCCAGUCA